UGUCCUACGGGAGGCAGCAGUGAGGAAUAUUGGUCAAUGGGCGGGAGCCUGAACCAGCCAAGUCGCGUGAGGGAAGACGGUCCUACGGAUUGUAAACCUCUUUUGCCGGGGAGCAACGGGGUCCUUGCGAGGACCCGAUGAGAGUACCCGGAGAAAAAGCCCCGGCUAACUACGUGCCAGCAGCCGCGGUAAUACGUAGGGGGCGAGCGUUAUCCGGAUUCACUGGGUGUAAAGGGAGCGUAGACGGCCAUGCAAGCCAGGGGUGAAAGCCCGGGGCCCAACCCCGGGACUGCCCUUGGAACUGC
RNAcentral lists this ribosomal RNA (305 nucleotides) under uncultured bacterium. RNAcentral describes it as "bacterial SSU rRNA". It matches the Rfam family "Bacterial small subunit ribosomal RNA", at positions 335 to 636 of the family's 1533-position model. The record is from RNAcentral.